GAUGAACGCUGGCGGCGUGCCUAAUACAUGCAAGUCGAACGAAACUUCUUUAUCACCGAGUGCUUGCACUCACCGAUAAAGAGUUGAGUGGCGAACGGGUGAGUAACACGUGUGCAACCUGCCCAAAAGAGGGGGAUAACACUUGGAAACAGGUGCUAAUACCGCAUAACCAUAGUUACCGCAUGGUAACUAUGUAAAAGGUGGCUAUACUACCGCCUUUGGAUGGGCCCGCGGGGCAUUAGCUAGUUGGUAGGGUAAAGGCUUACCAAGGCAAUGAUGCGUAGCCGAAUUGAGAGGUUGAUCGGCCACAUUGGGACUGAGACACGGCCCAAAAUCCUACGGGAGGCAGCAGUAGGGAAUCUUGCACAAUGGGCGAAAGCCUGAUGGAGCGACGCAGCGUGGGUGAAGAAGGUCUUCGGAUCGUAAAACCCUGUUGUUAGAGAAGAAAGUGCGUGAGAGUAACUGUUCACGUUUCGACGGUAUCUAACCAGAAAGCAACUGCUAACUACGUG
This 512-nucleotide ribosomal RNA is filed under the name uncultured bacterium. RNAcentral describes it as "partial 16S ribosomal RNA". It matches the Rfam family "Bacterial small subunit ribosomal RNA", at positions 28 to 507 of the family's 1533-position model. The record is from RNAcentral.